AUAGCCAAUUUACUACAAUUAAAACGCUGGAAAUCAUUGGUGGCACUAUACAAAAACAAAUUGGUUUAUAAUCUCACAACCUUCACCUUUCUGACAUUCUGAGACCCAAACAAAUUCAGUGCCUUCUGUGCUUUGAUUUAUUACUGGGUAUUGAUUACACAUAGUUACUCCCCUUUGAUAAAUGAUCGUCAUUAACCCUGCCAAAAAACCAUCGUGUUACAAUUUGUUUCAAUAGAAUAUCUCAGAUCAACACAUUUGAGAAAAUUAAAAUUCCUUGGAAGGAGAAUUAACCACCAGUAGACAGAAUCCAACAGCUCCCUGAAUUGGUACAAAGGCACUGUGCUUUUUGUUUCUUCUGGAAAAUACGGAAAUCCUGACUCAUUAUAUGAUGUGCUAUAUGAAGGCGAAGACGCGUCAUAUGAAGUAAUGGAGAUUCAUUGUCACUAAAAUAGAUGUCACUUUAAAAGUUUUCAUUCAUCAUAUCACAUAUUCAUCAUUGGAAGGAACUUUAUUUUGACAUACAAGUUUCAUGUGCUGCAAAUUGAUUCAGGAAAUACAGGCAGACAAGCUGGAAAGUAAAGACACAAUUAGUGGGAAACUAUAAUGAGUACAUGUUGAAAGAAAUAAGAUGCUCAGCUGAUGUAAAUUACAAAAAUGACACAGAAAUGUGAACACAUAUAAUCAACGAAAUUCUCUGAACACACAUAUGCAAACACACACUGGUGAGAAGAAUAACAAUUUAUUAUGUGUGAUAAAGCAGUUUCUCUACAAAAUAAUUUGAACAUGAAUAUGGAAAUACACACUGGCAAAAAGAAUCUUAAAUGUAACAUGUGUGAUAAAGGAUUUUCUCAACAGAGUAAUUUGAACAAGCAUAUGACAAUAGACACUGGUGAGAAGAAUCAUAAAUGUGAAGUGUGUGAUAAAGCAUUUUCUCAACGAAGUGAUUUGAACCAGCAUAUGACAAUACACACUGGUGAGAAGAAUCAUAAAUGUAAAGUGUGUGAUAAAGCAUUUUCUCAAUGAAGUCAUUUGAACCAG
This is a long non-coding RNA of Ruditapes philippinarum (Manila clam), 1038 nucleotides long. RefSeq lists it as uncharacterized. Lineage: Eukaryota; Metazoa; Mollusca; Bivalvia; Venerida; Veneridae. The transcript is spliced from 4 exons. The record is from RefSeq and is a predicted model, not a curated record.